GCCUGGGUGGCUCAGUUCGUUGAGCAUCUGACUUCAGCUCAGGUCAUGAUCUCGUGGUUUGUGAGUUCGAGCCCGCUUCAGGCU
This 84-nucleotide transfer RNA is filed under the name Felis catus (domestic cat). It matches the Rfam family "tRNA". From Rfam's summary of the family: Transfer RNA (tRNA) molecules are approximately 80 nucleotides in length. Their secondary structure includes four short double-helical elements and three loops (D, anti-codon, and T loops). The record is from Rfam by way of RNAcentral. RNAcentral also lists the same sequence under 2 other names. Lineage: Eukaryota; Metazoa; Chordata; Mammalia; Carnivora; Felidae.